UUUGCGGUGGCCUUGGCCCAGGGGAGACGCCCGGUCCCAUUCCGAACCCGGUAGCUAAGCCCUGGCACGGCGAUGGUACUGCACCUGGUAGGGUGCGGGAGAGUAGCACGCUGCCGCUU
RNAcentral lists this ribosomal RNA (119 nucleotides) under Bifidobacterium cuniculi. The record is from RNAcentral. Lineage: Bacteria; Bacillati; Actinomycetota; Actinomycetes; Bifidobacteriales; Bifidobacteriaceae.